CACUCCCCAGUGGGAUAUGUAGAUACUAGAUAGUGCGUGCUCCUUUAUUCAUGCUAUCAUGGCAGUCCGUAUGGUGGCAGUAAUGUAGACGCAAGACGACAAUACGACAUCAACGGAUAAUUUGUGAUUCACUUCAAUAAGGAGAUCGGAGAUUUCGAUAUGGCUGACGCAAAUAGUGAAGAAGUUAAUCCUGAGUCAGUAGUGAAUGCAUGGAAAAUAAAGUUACCUGAAUUCAAACAAGAGCACAAUCCUCAUGGUCUUUUAGAGGAAAGUUCAUUUGCAACACUUUUCCCAAAAUAUAGAGAAGUUUACCUCAGAGAAUGUUGGCCUCUUGUUCAGAAAUCCCUAGGUGAACAUAAUAUCAAAGCUGAAUUAGAUGUUAUUGAAGGUAGUAUGACUGUUAAAACCAGCAGAAAAACAUGGGAUCCCUACAUCAUCUUGAAGGCCCGUGACAUGGUUAAGUUGCUUGCCCGAAGUGUCCCUUAUGAACAAGCAGUCAAAGUACUGAGUGAUGAUGUUGCAUGUGACAUUAUUAAGAUUGGAACUCAAACCCAGAAUAAAGAUCGCUUUGUGAAAAGAAGACAAAGAUUAAUUGGUCCUAAUGGAUCAACACUUAAAGCUUUGGAAUUAUUAACAAGUUGCUAUAUUCUUGUUCAGGGAAAUACUGUUUCAGCUGUUGGGCCAUAUCGUGGACUGCAACAAGUUCGAAGAGUAGUGGAAGAUACUAUGGAAAAUAUUCAUCCCAUCUACCACAUCAAGGCUCUUAUGAUAAAAAGAGAACUAGCAAGGGAUGAAAAACUGAAGAAUGAAUCUUGGGAGCGUUUCUUGCCCACAAUACCACACAAGAACACCAGCAAGAGAAAGCAACCUGCGAAAAAGCGCGCUAAGAAGGAAUACACACCAUUCCCUCCGGCGCCACCAGAAAGCAAAGUCGACAAAUUACUGGCUACCGGCGAGUAUUUCUUAAAAGAAGAUCAGCGUAAACAUCGCAAAAAGCAUGAAAACCAGGAAAAACAAGAUCAGGCAGAAAAUCGAAGAAAAGAACGACGAGAAAGUGCUUUUAUACCCCCGGAGGAACCAAGCUCGUCUGGAACCAAAUCUGCCACGGCUUCUGACAUCAACGUGGAAGAGCUAAAAAAUAAAAUUCGAAAAAGCCAAACGAAACGUAAACGUGUGUAAAACUUAUCGAGAUUCCCAACUGACUGAAAUAUAAACGGUCUGGCACAAAUUUCAAGCUCCAUCAUUGAAGACGCUGCUCCAUAUGUCUAUGACUAGAACGUUGUUGAUUUUCAGCAGGAUCAUUUGCGAUGGUUGCGUACGACAGAGAGAAGUCUAUGGAUCUCGUUUUGCCAUAAAUGAAAAGAUUGAUUCUCAGCGAGUGAAUAUGAACUCUUGGGUAUCUAGCUGCGGAUUGCAUUCCUGUACGGUAAUCUCUUGAGCAUUUCGUGCGUCAAGACAUAGAUUGGAGAGUCUGUGAAUGACGGUAACACCACGCAGCUGGCCCCUUUCCAGUUUGUCCCAAAGCUGAUCGUUGCUGGAGCUGCAGGGCAAUGUGAUUACUUGGGCUCCAACAUAUGCUGGGGUAGGCGGCGCCAGACACCAAGAGCCAUGGCGUAAUCGACCAGCAAGGUACAGCCAUGCCUGCGGACCCAGACAAUGUAUAAAUUCAGAAGUGCUAAGGAGAGUAGCCUAAUCACGCAUGGUUAUCAGCAAGAAGCGGUAUCGAAAAGUGGAGAGGCGUUAUCUUUCAUCUCUGUCUGUCAGCUUCUGUACCUCAUAAAAACAGGGAAUUUUGCUUGCGGAAUAGAAGGAUGUGAAAUUUCAAGUAAAAGUGGGGCUUCCCAAAGGCGAUAGAACUAUCACAAGUAGAAAAUUUUCAUGGAAUUGUGUUGCACCCAUGUGAUGCAAUGCCAGACUGCUGAUGAAACAUAUUUGUGUUUAUAGAACGACUAACAAAUCGUUUGUAUUCUGUGUGAUCCAAUUCCAGCCAUCGAUUUGAAGUUAAAGUUGAUCAGAAAAUGGCAUCAACUAAAUCAUCUAACAUCAAUAACAAAAACCAACAGAACCUGAUUUUUUAUGCUGCUAUCAUGUGUUUCAAAUCGGACAUGUUUGACAACAAUGUUGGAUGACGAAAAUUUAUUCCUCAACCUUGAAAUCAGACAGCGAGUGUGGACGACUUUUCGAAGGACGGAUUUGGAUUUCAGUUCAAAGACCUUGAGAGGUAUUAUUAUUUAGCUGCACGAUAACACGUCUCGGUCUACACUAAAACGGCUAGAGGGCAAUCAUACUCCUUCACCCGUCGAACAGUGCUCCGCCUUUUAGUUUUACAAGAUAUGUGACCGCACUCUUAAAACUUUAGUGUAGUUGCACGAUGACUUGACUAUUAGACAUUGUGCAUCGCAAUCUUAUGUACAAUUGUCCGGUAUUCGUACUUGUGAAGUGAGGAGGUUACAGUUGCUCCAGUGCGCUUUUUCUAAUCGCAAGAAUUUGUUUGAAAAAAGGAAGGUAACAAAGUCACGAUGGCUUACACUGCUUAGCAAUCUCGUUUCAAGCUGACAUCAACUUCACCGAAGACUCGCUUAAGAUUGUCUCUUGCAGAACGGAUUAAAGUGAUCGAAGCCCGGCAAAUGGGGAAGUCAAUGCGACAGUUUGGCUGUGGCAAAACGCAGAUUCUCAACACUUUGACGCAAAAGGAGCGAUACAUCCACGAAUGGGAGGUUAUGGGUCGCAAUAAUCCUUCGAUUGACGCCCGCAAGCGUUUUCGACGCUCACGUAACGAACAUAUAAACCGAUCUGUUCACGAUUGGUAUCAACAGCAGACAGCCAGCGGUCUCCGAGUUACAGGACCCAUGUUACAAAAACAAGCAAGACAUUAUGCAACUCUGCUAGAAAUAUCAAAUUUCGGAGCCAGCAAUUAGAUGGUUAGCAAAUUUCAGAAGAUUCUACAACAUCGUCAGUGUAAGUAAAUGCUCAACUGCUAUUUCACACCAUAAUUCCUGCUAGGUAUAUUACUUAAGUCAGAAAGUCAAUGCGCGUCAGCGUAGAUGAAUUACUAGCUGGUGACUUAUCAGGUAGUACUUGAGCAAGCCUUUCGUAACAUGGGCUUUUGCAUGUUAAGUGAAUGUAGCCGCUGUCUCAGAUUUAGACGUUAAGUCUUAUUCCUUUGGCAAGCAAUAGCGUUGGGGAGGCCGUAAAGCGGUGACAAUUUAGUAUAGCGUAAUAUUUUACGGAAACAGUUAAAGAAACAAGGUCCUAUCUUAGAGAUGACAUCUCUGCAAUCAAUGAGAUUGCUAUGAAAUAGGAGGAGGCGUCAGGCGAGGCGCGAGAUUCAACUGAACGGCUUGAAGAUUGAUUAUCAAUAGACGUCAUUUGGAUGGUGCAGUUCUUAUCCGCAGCCCUGCAGUGAACAAAAAAAGGCAGUGGAAAAAAUCUGCUCGUGGUGCUGAUCUGCACAAUGGCGGCUUCAUGUAAACAAUCUUGAAAUAGCCUAUCAAUAGUAAUUUUGGUUUGCUUCAACAUGCAAGUCUAUGACAAAUAUGUAUAUUAGCUAAACUGUUAUUGAACAUAGAACUACACAGUAUUAAGACUCUUCCCUAGGUUUUCCUUUCCUUAGGUUGUAGACAAGAUGGUUGAAGCCGUCUUAACUGUUCCAGGAAUUUCCAGGGUCUUGUAUGACCGGACCGCGAAAACACCCGGGACAACGAAGUGGGAAUAAUUUGAUUUACGAACGUUGCUUAGACAAAUGAUCUCCGCACGAUCCCCUUCCCACUUUUCAUUUUUUGCCAAAUUUCAAAUUUUGCUUAAAAUACAUGAAUUCGAUUCAGAAUUCAAUAAAAAUCACGAAAACCUGGUUUAUUUUUC
This is an RNA transcript of Daphnia magna, 3861 nucleotides long. It is a transcript of the gene named KRR1 small subunit processome component homolog, with no coding region annotated. Lineage: Eukaryota; Metazoa; Arthropoda; Branchiopoda; Diplostraca; Daphniidae. The transcript has 10 exons. The record is from RefSeq and is a predicted model, not a curated record.